This is a long non-coding RNA of Nasonia vitripennis (jewel wasp), 956 nucleotides long. RefSeq lists it as uncharacterized. The transcript has 3 exons. The record is from RefSeq and is a predicted model, not a curated record. Lineage: Eukaryota; Metazoa; Arthropoda; Insecta; Hymenoptera; Pteromalidae.
AUUGUUAAAUAAACAAAAAAAUAACAACUUUUUCGCCCGGAAACCACGAAAUUCGGAUUCUACGCCUCAAAAUACAUCAAAAAAAAAAACGUUUGGUUACCGGAGCGACCUCGUAUAUUAAAAAUGGAUCACUCAGACCCCCCUCAGCGCCCGGACUAUAUUCUUAACUAUUUUCUUCCGAAGAUAGUUGGUGAAAUAAUACGACACAGGUGCACGUGAUUAAUGGCGAUUCGAGAUAUGGACAGCAGCAUAUCGUAAAAAAAUUAGCGCAGCAUCGCAGAAUUAGAAGUAAAAUAAUCUUUCGAGGAAUGCAAUCAUAAAGUAGUUUGAAUCCAUUUGAAAAUCUACAAAUAAUAAGGUGUCGUUCUUCCUUAAAAUUGCUGAAGCGUAUGAAGCAGAUAUCACGCGUUGAAAAAAGGCAGUACGCAAGUGAGAAGUACUAACCACCCACCAAGUAUCAGACUCGCCAGUCUUUGUUUGAUAUUCGUGCCAGUUCGAGCUUAAUUUCCUCUUAAUACGUCGGCCCCACGAAGUGUGCAAAAUAAAUAUUGAACGCGUUGAACAUGUGACACGUGAGCUUAGACGCGCGAUUUGAAGAAAUUCCGUAUAGAAACCGAGAAAAGUAUGACUAGAUGUCAUCAUAAUUAAUGCCGAACACAUAUGACGUUUGAUAGCUUAAUGAAAAUGUGGAAUACCAAUAAGCUGAUAUAAAAAAGAUAUUUUACCUGGUCGGUGAAAAAUGAGGUGCAAAUAAAGAUGUCUCGUAAUACAACGCCUCGCGCGCUUCAUUGUUAUUUUUUUACGCCUGGCAGCGCAGAACAUGACUUUAGAACGUGGACAUUUGCAUAACGUUUAUAUUUGCGCGUGUGUAUUAAUGUAGCCAAUCCAAUAAUGUAGUUAGAAUUAUACUCUAUCAUUUUGAUGGAGGCUGAUUAAAACGUUUAUCGUAUCUGAAA